AACUGAUAAUCUUGAGUGUAACUGAUGUGGGCGGAAUGUGUCAAGUAGCGGUGAAAUGCAUAGAUAUGACACAGAACACCGAUAGCGAAGGCAGCUCACAAAAUUACAACUGACACUGAGGCACGAAAGCGUGGGUAUCAAACAGGAUUAGAUACCCUGGUAGUCCACGCUGUAAACGAUGAUCACUAGCUGUUUGCGAUACAUUGUAAGUGGUUAAGCGAAAGCGAUAAGUGAUCCACCUGGGGAGUACGUCGGCAACGAUGAAACUCAAAGGAAUUGACGGGGGCCCGCACAAGCGGAGGAGCAUGUGGUUUAAUUCGAUGAUACGCGAGGAACCUUACCUGGGCUUGAACGUAUGGUGCAUGAGUGUGAAAGCACUCUUUCCUUCACAGGACUUCAUACGAGGUGCUGCAUGGUUGUCGUCAGCUCGUGCCGUGAGGUGUUAGGUUAAGUCCUGCAACGAGCGCAACCCCUGUUUUUAGUUGCCAGCAGGUUAUGCUGGGCACUCUAGAAAGACUGCCUGCGCAAGCAGAGAGGAAGGUGGGGAUGACGUCAAAUCAGCACGGCCCUUACGUCCAGGGCUACACACGUGCUACAAUGGUCGGCACAGAGGGUGGCUACCCGGCAACGGGAUGCUAAUCUCCAAAGUCGAUCUUAGUUCGGAUCGAAGUCUGCAACUCGACUUCGUGAAGUUGGAUUCGCUAGUAAUCGUAUAUCAGCCAUGAUACGGUGAAUACGUUCCCGGGCCUUGUACACACCGCCCGUCAAGCCAUGGAAGUUGGGGGUACCUGAAGUCGAUUACCGUAA
This 807-nucleotide ribosomal RNA is filed under the name uncultured organism. RNAcentral describes it as "bacterial SSU rRNA". It matches the Rfam family "Bacterial small subunit ribosomal RNA", at positions 631 to 1439 of the family's 1533-position model. The record is from RNAcentral.